This 383-nucleotide ribosomal RNA is filed under the name uncultured eukaryote. RNAcentral describes it as "partial 18S ribosomal RNA". It matches the Rfam family "Eukaryotic small subunit ribosomal RNA", at positions 592 to 976 of the family's 1831-position model. The record is from RNAcentral.
CAAUAGCGUAUAUUAAAGUUGUUGCAGUAAAAAAGCUCGUAGUUGGAUUUCUGGUGGGAGCGAUCGGUCUGGCGCUUAGCGCGAGUACUUGCAUCGUCUCCGGCCAUCCUUGGGGAGAGUCUGUCUGGCAUUAGGUUGUCGGGCAGAGGAUCCUCAUCGUUUACUGUGAAAAAAUUAGAGUGUUCAAAGCAGGCUUAUGCCGUUGAAUAUAUUAGCAUGGAAUAAUAAGAUAGGACUUUGGUACUAUUUUGUUGGUUUGCGCACCAAAGUAAUGAUUAAUAGGGACAGUUGGGGGUAUUCGUAUUCCGUUGUCAGAGGUGAAAUUCUUGGAUUUACGGAAGACGAACUACUGCGAAAGCAUUUACCAAGGAUGUUUUCAUUAA